This 77-nucleotide transfer RNA is filed under the name Marinilabiliales bacterium. Its description in RNAcentral is "tRNA-Pro". It matches the Rfam family "tRNA". From Rfam's summary of the family: Transfer RNA (tRNA) molecules are approximately 80 nucleotides in length. The record is from RNAcentral. Lineage: Bacteria; Pseudomonadati; Bacteroidota; Bacteroidia; Marinilabiliales.
CGGGGUGUGGCGCAGUUGGUUAGCGUGCUUGACUGGGGGUCAAGAGGUCGCGAGUUCGAGUCUCGCCACUCCGACGA